AGAGUUUGAUCAUGGCUCAGAUUGAACGCUGGCGGCAGGCCUAACACAUGCAAGUCGAACGGUAACAGGAAGAAGCUUGCUUCUUUGCUGACGAGUGGCGGACGGGUGAGUAAUGUCUGGGAAACUGCCUGAUGGAGGGGGAUAACUACUGGAAACGGUAGCUAAUACCGCAUAACGUCGCAAGACCAAAGAGGGGGACCUUCGGGCCUCUUGCCAUCGGAUGUGCCCAGAUGGGAUUAGCUAGUAGGUGGGGUAACGGCUCACCUAGGCGACGAUCCCUAGCUGGUCUGAGAGGAUGACCAGCCACACUGGAACUGAGACACGGUCCAGACUCCUACGGGAGGCAGCAGUGGGGAAUAUUGCACAAUGGGCGCAAGCCUGAUGCAGCCAUGCCGCGUGUAUGAAGAAGGCCUUCGGGUUGUAAAGUACUUUCAGCGGGGAGGAAGGGAGUAAAGUUAAUACCUUUGCUCAUUGACGUUACCCGCAGAAGAAGCACCGGCUAACUCCGUGCCAGCAGCCGCGGUAAUACGGAGGGUGCAAGCGUUAAUCGGAAUUACUGGGCGUAAAGCGCACGCAGGCGGUUUGUUAAGUCAGAUGUGAAAUCCCCUGGCUCAACCUGGGAACUGCAUCUGAUACUGGCAAGCUUGAGUCUCGUAGAGGGGGGUAGAAUUCCAGGUGUAGCGGUGAAAUGCGUAGAGAUCUGGAGGAAUACCGGUGGCGAAGGCGGCCCCCUGGACGAAGACUGACGCUCAGGUGCGAAAGCGUGGGGAGCAAACAGGAUUAGAUACCCUGGUAGUCCACGCCGUAAACGAUGUCGACUUGGAGGUUGUGCCCUUGAGGCGUGGCUUCCGGAGCUAACGCGUUAAGUCGACCGCCUGGGGAGUACGGCCGCAAGGUUAAAACUCAAAUGAAUUGACGGGGGCCCGCACAAGCGGUGGAGCAUGUGGUUUAAUUCGAUGCAACGCGAAGAACCUUACCUGGUCUUGACAUCCACAGAACUUUCCAGAGAUGGAUUGGUGCCUUCGGGAACUGUGAGACAGGUGCUGCAUGGCUGUCGUCAGCUCGUGUUGUGAAAUGUUGGGUUAAGUCCCGCAACGAGCGCAACCCUUAUCUUUUGUUGCCAGCGGUCCGGCCGGGAACUCAAAGGAGACUGCCAGUGAUAAACUGGAGGAAGGUGGGGAUGACGUCAACUCAUCAUGGCCCUUACGACCAGGGCUACACACGUGCUACAAUGGCGCAUACAAAGAGAAGCGACCUCGCGAGAGCAAGCGGACCUCAUAAAGUGCGUCGUAGUCCGGAUUGGAGUCUGCAACUCGACUCCAUGAAGUCGGAAUCGCUAGUAAUCGUGGAUCAGAAUGCCACGGUGAAUACGUUCCCGGGCCUUGUACACACCGCCCGUCACACCAUGGGAGUGGGUUGCAAAAGAAGUAGGUAGCUUAACCUUCGGGAGGGCGCUUACCACUUUGUGAUUCAUGACUGGGGUGAAGUCGUAACAAGGUAACCGUAGGGGAACCUGCGGUUG
Molecule: ribosomal RNA, 1522 nt
Filed under: metagenome
Description: bacterial SSU rRNA
Rfam family: Bacterial small subunit ribosomal RNA
Source: RNAcentral